GCUGGCGGCAGGCCUAACACAUGCAAGUCGAGCGGUAGAGAGAAGCUUGCUUCUCUUGAGAGCGGCGGACGGGUGAGUAAUGCCUAGGAAUCUGCCUGGUAGUGGGGGAUAACGUUCGGAAACGGACGCUAAUACCGCAUACGUCCUACGGGAGAAAGCAGGGGACCUUCGGGCCUUGCGCUAUCAGAUGAGCCUAGGUCGGAUUAGCUAGUUGGUGAGGUAAUGGCUCACCAAGGCGACGAUCCGUAACUGGUCUGAGAGGAUGAUCAGUCACACUGGAACUGAGACACGGUCCAGACUCCUACGGGAGGCAGCAGUGGGGAAUAUUGGACAAUGGGCGAAAGCCUGAUCCAGCCAUGCCGCGUGUGUGAAGAAGGUCUUCGGAUUGUAAAGCACUUUAAGUUGGGAGGAAGGGUUGUAGAUUAAUACUCUGCAAUUUUGACGUUACCGACAGAAUAAGCACCGGCUAACUCUGUGCCAGCAGCCGCGGUAAUACAGAGGGUGCAAGCGUUAAUCGGAAUUACUGGGCGUAAAGCGCGCGUAGGUGGUUUGUUAAGUUGGAUGUGAAAUCCCCGGGCUCAACCUGGGAACUGCAUUCAAAACUGACUGACUAGAGUAUGGUAGAGGGUGGUGGAAUUUCCUGUGCAGCGGUGAAAUGCGUAGAUAUAGGAAGGAACACCAGUGGCGAAGGCGACCACCUGGACUAAUACUGACACUGAGGUGCGAAAGCGUG
This 733-nucleotide ribosomal RNA is filed under the name uncultured bacterium. RNAcentral's name for it is "bacterial SSU rRNA". It matches the Rfam family "Bacterial small subunit ribosomal RNA", at positions 35 to 763 of the family's 1533-position model. The record is from RNAcentral.